Molecule: ribosomal RNA, 497 nt
Filed under: uncultured bacterium
Lineage: Bacteria
Description: partial 16S ribosomal RNA
Rfam family: Bacterial small subunit ribosomal RNA
Source: RNAcentral
GAUGAACGCUGGCGGCGUGCCUAAUACAUGCAAGUCGAGCGAACAGACGAGGAGCUUGCUCCUCUGACGUUAGCGGCGGACGGGAGAGUAACACGUGGAUAACCUACCUAUAAGACUGGGAUAACAUCGGGAAACCGGAGCUAAUACCGGAUAAUAUAUUGAACUUCAUGGUUCAAUAGUCAAAGACGGUUUUGCUUUCACUUAUAGAUGGACCCGCGCCGCAUUAGCUAGUUGGUAAGGUAACGGCUUACCAAGGCAACGAUGCGUAGCCGACCUGAGAGGGUGAUCGGCCACACUGGAACUGAGGCACGGUCCAGACUCCUACGGGAGGCAGCAGUAGGGAAUCUUCCGCAAUGGGCGAAAGCCUGACGGAGCAACGCCGCGUGAGUGAUGAAGGUCUUCGGAUCGUAAAACUCUGUUAUUAGGGAAGAACAAAUGUGUAAGUAACUAUGCACGUCUUGACGGUACCUAAUCAGAAAGCCACGGCUAACUACGUG